This 1331-nucleotide ribosomal RNA is filed under the name Bacillus sp. cl115. Its description in RNAcentral is "bacterial LSU rRNA". It matches the Rfam family "Bacterial large subunit ribosomal RNA", at positions 1583 to 2925 of the family's 2925-position model. Lineage: Bacteria; Bacillati; Bacillota; Bacilli; Caryophanales; Bacillaceae. RNAcentral also lists the same sequence under 2 other names. The record is from RNAcentral.
GAGCGAAGUCUUUGAUUCCCCGCUGCCAAGAAAAGCUUCUAGCGAGAUAAAAGGUGCCUGUACCGCAAACCGACACAGGUAGGCGAGGAGAGAAUCCUAAGGUGUGCGAGAGAACUCUGGUUAAGGAACUCGGCAAAAUGACCCCGUAACUUCGGGAGAAGGGGUGCUUUCUUAACGGAAAGCCGCAGUGAAUAGGCCCAAGCGACUGUUUAGCAAAAACACAGCUCUCUGCGAAGCCGUAAGGCGAAGUAUAGGGGGUGACACCUGCCCGGUGCUGGAAGGUUAAGGAGAGGGGUUAGCGUAAGCGAAGCUCUGAACUGAAGCCCCAGUAAACGGCGGCCGUAACUAUAACGGUCCUAAGGUAGCGAAAUUCCUUGUCGGGUAAGUUCCGACCCGCACGAAAGGUGUAACGAUUUGGGCACUGUCUCAACCAGAGACUCGGUGAAAUUAUAGUACCUGUGAAGAUGCAGGUUACCCGCGACAGGACGGAAAGACCCCGUGGAGCUUUACUGUAGCCUGAUAUUGAAUUUUGGUACAGUUUGUACAGGAUAGGCGGGAGCCAUUGAAACCGGAGCGCUAGCUUCGGUGGAGGCGCUGGUGGGAUACCGCCCUGACUGUAUUGAAAUUCUAACCUACGGGUCUUAUCGACCCGGGAGACAGUGUCAGGUGGGCAGUUUGACUGGGGCGGUCGCCUCCUAAAGUGUAACGGAGGCGCCCAAAGGUUCCCUCAGAAUGGUUGGAAAUCAUUCGUAGAGUGCAAAGGCAUAAGGGAGCUUGACUGCGAGACCUACAAGUCGAGCAGGGACGAAAGUCGGGCUUAGUGAUCCGGUGGUUCCGCAUGGAAGGGCCAUCGCUCAACGGAUAAAAGCUACCCCGGGGAUAACAGGCUUAUCUCCCCCAAGAGUCCACAUCGACGGGGAGGUUUGGCACCUCGAUGUCGGCUCAUCGCAUCCUGGGGCUGUAGUCGGUCCCAAGGGUUGGGCUGUUCGCCCAUUAAAGCGGUACGCGAGCUGGGUUCAGAACGUCGUGAGACAGUUCGGUCCCUAUCCGUCGUGGGCGUAGGAAAUUUGAGAGGAGCUGUCCUUAGUACGAGAGGACCGGGAUGGACGCACCGCUGGUGUACCAGUUGUUCUGCCAAGGGCAUAGCUGGGUAGCUAUGUGCGGAAGGGAUAAGUGCUGAAAGCAUCUAAGCAUGAAGCCCCCCUCAAGAUGAGAUUUCCCAUAGCGUAAGCUAGUAAGAUCCCUGAAAGAUGAUCAGGUUGAUAGGUUCGAGGUGGAAGCAUGGUGACAUGUGGAGCUGACGAAUACUAAUAGAUCGAGGACUUAACCAU